RNAcentral lists this ribosomal RNA (466 nucleotides) under uncultured bacterium. RNAcentral describes it as "partial 16S ribosomal RNA". It matches the Rfam family "Bacterial small subunit ribosomal RNA", at positions 28 to 507 of the family's 1533-position model. The record is from RNAcentral.
GAUGAACGCUGGCGGCGUGCUUAACACAUGCAAGUCGAACGAUGAAGCCCAGCUUGCUGGGUGGAUUAGUGGCAAACGGGUGAGUAACACGUGAGUAACCUGCCCUUGACUCUGGGAUAAGCCUGGGAAACUGGGUCUAAUACUGGAUAUGACUUCUCAUCGCAUGGUGGGGGGUGGAAAGAUUUAUUGGUCUUGGAUGGACUCGCGGCCUAUCAGCUUGUUGGUGAGGUAAUGGCUCACCAAGGCGACGACGGGUAGCCGGCCUGAGAGGGUGACCGGCCACACUGGGACUGAGACACGGCCCAGACUCCUACGGGAGGCAGCAGUGGGGAAUAUUGCACAAUGGGCGCAAGCCUGAUGCAGCGACGCCGCGUGAGGGAUGACGGCCUUCGGGUUGUAAACCUCUUUCAGUAGGGAAGAAGCGAGAGUGACGGUACCUGCAGAAGAAGCGCCGGCUAACUACGUG